This 30-nucleotide non-coding RNA is filed under the name Rattus norvegicus (Norway rat). Lineage: Eukaryota; Metazoa; Chordata; Mammalia; Rodentia; Muridae. The record is from RNAcentral.
UGACACUGGAAACCUGUGCCCUUUCAAGAU